UCUAGCCCUAAAUCCCUCACGAUGACCAAAAUACUCAUCUCCCUUCCAACGAUGCUAGUUUUCAUCAACUCCAUAGCUGUGUCUCGCGUGCUCAGCGUUACCCUCAUUCAUCUCACCUUGUCCAUUAUAGUGCCUAAACCAGUCUUUCUCCCGCUACACCAGAGCCUUUCUCGACCAUAACAGAAUAUCACCUGAGAUACCCUUCUCCUUCUCAUGCCAUGCCUUCAGACUUCAACCUCUACUUCUUCGUUUCAUGCCUUUUGAUAAAAUCUGUUCUUCUUUUUCGCUUGCCUCUCUUUGAUAUUUAGCUCAUUCUUCUAGCCAUUCAUCAUGUCGCCAGUUGUCUCUCGCCUUUAGUUCUCAUACGCUCACCCCUUGCAGUCGCAACCUUCAUCCCAUAGAACCGAUGAACCGAAAUAGGGUUGUUGAUGUUACUAAAUGAAUCUGGUUGCUUUUUUAUUGAUGCUUCAUCUCGCCUUACACUGCGAUCUGAGGCGAACUCCCACACUACAUGCUCGUAGCCUUCAUCUCACAUCCUCUGUGACGUGGGUAUACAGUUUGGGUUUGAAUGUGAGUUUGUUGGGUUUGCGAUAUGGGUCUACUCGUUUCUCCCAGUAGAUGUAGCCAAAUGGAUCACAUGUGGAG
RNAcentral lists this unclassified non-coding RNA (645 nucleotides) under Hevea brasiliensis (rubber tree). Lineage: Eukaryota; Viridiplantae; Streptophyta; Magnoliopsida; Malpighiales; Euphorbiaceae. The record is from RNAcentral.